UGGGGAAUAUUGCACAAUGGGCGCAAGCCUGUUGCAGCCAUGCCGCGUGUGUGAAGAAGGCCUUCGGGUUGUAAAGCACUUUCAGCGGGGAGGAAGGCGAUAAGGUUAAUAACCUUGUCGAUUGACGUUACCCGCAGAAGAAGCACCGGCUAACUCCGUGCCAGCAGCCGCGGUAAUACGGAGGGUGCAAGCGUUAAUCGGAAUUACUGGGCGUAAAGCGCACGCAGGCGGUCUGUCAAGUCGGAUGUGAAAUCCCCGGGCUCAACCUGGGAACUGCAUUCGAAACUGGCAGGCUAGAGUCUUGUAGAGGGGGGUAGAAUUCCAGGUGUAGCGGUGAAAUGCGUAGAGAUCUGGAGGAAUACCGGUGGCGAAGGCGGCCCCCUGGACAAAGACUGACGCUCAGGUGCGAAAGCGUGGGGAGCAAACAGG
This 429-nucleotide ribosomal RNA is filed under the name Chloroflexota bacterium. Its description in RNAcentral is "Chloroflexi bacterium partial 16S ribosomal RNA". It matches the Rfam family "Bacterial small subunit ribosomal RNA", at positions 355 to 776 of the family's 1533-position model. The record is from RNAcentral. Lineage: Bacteria; Bacillati; Chloroflexota.